This is a long non-coding RNA of Bombyx mori (domestic silkworm), 543 nucleotides long. RefSeq lists it as uncharacterized. The record is from RefSeq and is a predicted model, not a curated record. Lineage: Eukaryota; Metazoa; Arthropoda; Insecta; Lepidoptera; Bombycidae. The transcript has 2 exons.
GUAUUCGAAAUAUCGGAAAUAAUUUAAUGACAACAAUAAACGCUAGGUUUAAUUGGAAAAGUGGUUUUAUUUGAGUGUAUCUGAAGUGAUAUUAGUAGUGGUGUUGGAUGGUCGCAUCGCCAGAGGCACAGUUAAGCCGCUAUUAUCGAAAGGCUUUUCGAAGCUGUACAUAUAAUAGUACUUCCAAGUUUCCGGGAAGUCAUUACAGAGAUGGAUAAUAUGUGGCUGAAACGAUGUUUUGAACGUCAGGGCGAAAAGCGCACGAAAGCAGCGAUUUCUUAAUGAUCUUCGUGGAAUGUCAUGGGGCGCACUGCGGCUGCAUGCACGCUCCGUGCAACGCUCCCGCUCCCGCUACCUCCUAUGCGCUAAGUCCCUGCAGUGAACUUCUUAACACCAGGUCAAUUGUAUGUCUGUUUGAAGUACAUAAAAGAACCGAAACGGGAGUAGAAUUGCAUAUGUAAAUGCUAAUAUUAAUGAAAUUUAUCCAUUAAUUGUUUACUAAUGUUUUUAUAUUAUAUGAAAACGCAAGCGUUUUAAUGUCGA